RNAcentral lists this ribosomal RNA (404 nucleotides) under uncultured bacterium. Its description in RNAcentral is "bacterial SSU rRNA". It matches the Rfam family "Bacterial small subunit ribosomal RNA", at positions 355 to 776 of the family's 1533-position model. The record is from RNAcentral.
UGAGGGAUAUUGGGCAAUGGGGGAAACCCUGACCCAGCAACGCCGCGUGAGGGAAGACGGUUUUCGGAUUGUAAACCUCUGUCCUCUGUGAAGAUAAUGACGGUAGCAGAGGAGGAAGCUCCGGCUAACUACGUGCCAGCAGCCGCGGUAAUACGUAGGGAGCAAGCGUUGUCCGGAUUUACUGGGUGUAAAGGGUGCGUAGGCGGCAAGGCAAGUCAGAAGUGAAAUCUAUGGGCUUAACCCAUAAACUGCUUUUGAAACUGUUUUGCUUGAGUGAUGUAGAGGUAGGCGGAAUUCCCGGUGUAGCGGUGGAAUGCGUAGAGAUCGGGAGGAACACCAGUGGCGAAGGCGGCCUACUGGGCAUUAACUGACGCUGAGGCACGAAAGCAUGGGUAGCAAACAGG